UCAGUUUAUCGAAUUUGUGAGCGGGCGCGCGCACUUACUGCAUGCAUUUACACGGCAAACAAAGCUGCCAUUGCGAUUAUUACAAGAAACACAGUAUUUUACCACUUUUACCACGUCUGAAGUUAGUUUUGGACGUCAAAUUCAUCAACGCCAACUGUACUGCUGGAUAACUGAAACUAAAGCCAAGAUUGAAUAAACACAGUUACAUUGGUUCUUCGGAGGCCAGCUCAGUUGAUUGUUGUACUUAUACAAUCUCAAGAGGAAUUUGCCAUCCGUAAUAGUUCCUUUUCGUCAACAAGCCACCUGACUUAACAAAGCUUUAAUGAAACUUCCAUUUAAAAGUUGUAAACAACGGGUCUCCUGGAGGAUACAAGCACUUGGGCUUGUACCAACCUACACCAUGGACGAGAAGAGGUUUCAUAUUCAACAAGAUGGAUUUUCCAUUUCUUUCAUUAAAAGAAAGAGUACCAAAUUCCAAUGACUUGGGCAGUCCUUUGAUCGAUGAGGUAAUACAGCUUCAUAGAUACAAUAAAUAAUUUUUUAUGCAGUUCAUGCAGGUAUAUCAAAGUUCAACUCUUAUUUUUGGUACAUGUAUUUCCAAAUUCUUUAAAAGAAAGAAAGAACAAUCGAAUUGAAUGAAAAAUUAACUUUUUAUAUAUAUAUAUUGUAUCGUAUCCGAACAUCUACCCCCUGGACAUCCACACCCCGGACAUCCACCACCCGGACAUCCACCCCCCGGACAUCCACCCCCUUAGGACAUCUACCCCCUAGGACAUCUACCCCCGGACAUUUACCCCCCGGACAUCUACCCCCCGGACAAUUACCCCCCGGACAUUUACCCCCCCGGACAUCUACCCCCGGACAUUUACCCCCCGGACAUUUACCCCCCCGGACAUUUACCCCCCGGACAUCUACCCCCCGGACAUCUACCCCCUGGACAAUUACCCCCUGGACAUUUACCCCCCCCCCCAGACAUCUACCCCCGAGCAUCUACUCACGGAUAUUUUGGAUACGGGGGGUUCCAAAAUUACGCAUCAUUUCAUAAGUGCAUGCAGACCCAAAAUUGCACAAAAACGUAAAUUUGUGUACAAAUCCAAUGCAAAUAGAGUUUUUAGCCAAAAUUCAUAAAUGUAUAAUUUUUCCAUUUACUGAUUGAAAUCAAUUAAUUCCAUCUUAUUUAUGGUCCAAAUAAAGUCCCCGACAAUUUCCAUUGAAAAAACAAUAAAAAACAUAAAGUCCAAAAACAAAGAAAUACAUAAGAAAUUUUGAAAACAGUUAAAUACAUGAAAAAAUUAAUGUGAUUUUGAAAUUUUUUGUUAGUACAUUUGAACAGAUUAAUAUAAAGUGUCUGUGUACCAAAAAUUAGCAUUUUAGGGGCAUUAUUUAGUUAAUUAAAGCAAAAUUCUGAUUUCAUGCAUAAAUUAGCAUAAUUAAUUAGCAAUGAGAUUUUUCACAGAGUUUGAUCCUGUAGUUUUGUAUAUUAUGCCAUUGGUAACGCAGGUGCCAAGUUUCGUCGCGAUCAACGGCCGAGAUCAUAAGGAGGGGGGCUGAAUCAGCCCCCCCCCCCACAGUCUUCUUAGGCAUCGAAAUAGCCUAGUCUAUUUAGGUUUAAUUCAUGUGUAAUAUCUGUUUUAUAAAUCUUCCAAAUGAUACCAAGUAUCGUUCAAGUGGGUUUAAAGGGGAAGUUCACGCUGACAAAAAGUUUAUUGUUAAAACAGAAGAAAAAAAUAAUAAAAAUAUUGCUUAAGUUUUGAGGAAAAUCCAUCAAAGAAUUAAAAAGUUAUUUGAAUUUCAAUUAUUUGAGUUGUAACGUCAUAUUCGGGCAGCAUUUCUACAUAAUGAAUUUUUUUUUUUCUAUACCUUUUCUAUAUCAAAGGACCAAUCAUUUUACACCCAAACAUGAAAAGAAAACACAAAAUAACAAAAAUAUGUCCUCUGGAACCAUUAAAAAAUGAAAUUCAUGCAUUUUAUAUUACAUAACUUUAUUUGGCAGCUGCUCGUGUGUGUGACGCCACAAAUCCAAAGGCUAAGCUUAGAAUUCUAAUAAAUUAUUUAAUAUUUAACAGAUUUUCCUCAAACCUUCACCAAUUUUUUUGUCUCACCUGCAUAGCAGACUUGUUUUGUCCAAGUGAACUUUCAUGUUAAGAUUGAAUGAGUUGCAAUUAUCUUAACUUUAAUAUAUUUUAAAAAAUUAUUUGCUUCUAAAUUGAAGACAAAGUGAAGAUUGAAAUGGUUUGAUUUGUUUCAGUAGCAAAAGAGGUGCAGACUGCAGAGCUUCAAAAUAUUUGAUAUCGCUAUAAUAUUGUCAGUACUCUAUAUCAUUCUUAUCUUUCCAACUAUUUUGAGGCCGCCUGAAUCGCAAACCCUGUAUGGCCAGUUUUUGUUUAUGACAAACAAUGAUGAGGGAUGGCUGAAAAUCCCUCCAGGUAAGUUGGGGUUUAUGUAAUUGACAUGGUAACCAAAUAUGAAUUUAGUAAUUUAUAACAGGAUGUAUAUUCCUGAAACAAAGUGCAAUUGUUUGAUAAAUGUUAAUUGAAUUGGCCACUAUUGUAAUUUUAAGAUUGUCCUUAUUGUUAGCUUUACAUAGACACCAAAAACAGAGGAUAUUGUUCCCAACUGGAAUUAUGAUAUUACUAUGCUAUCGUCAUAUUUAUCAUCACAAUAAUGUAUCUGGUAAU
Molecule: long non-coding RNA, 2678 nt
Organism: Lytechinus pictus (painted urchin)
Lineage: Eukaryota; Metazoa; Echinodermata; Echinoidea; Temnopleuroida; Toxopneustidae
Exons: 3
Source: RefSeq, a predicted model, not a curated record